RNAcentral lists this ribosomal RNA (465 nucleotides) under uncultured bacterium. Its description in RNAcentral is "partial 16S ribosomal RNA". It matches the Rfam family "Bacterial small subunit ribosomal RNA", at positions 339 to 795 of the family's 1533-position model. The record is from RNAcentral.
CUACGGGGGGCUGCAGUGAGGAAUUUUGCGCAAUGGGGGCAACCCUGACGCAGCAACGCCGCGUGAGUGAAGAAGGCCCUUGGGUCGUAAAGCUCUGUCAAUGGGGAAGAAGUUACUUGGUAUUAAUAGUGCCUUGUAUUGACGGUACCCAUGAAGGAAGCACCGGCUAACUCCGUGCCAGCAGCCGCGGUAAUACGGGGGGUGCAAGCGUUAUUCGGAAUUAUUGGGUGUAAAGGGCACGCAGGCGGUCCUGUCAGUCAGAUGUGAAAGCCCGGGGCUCAACCCCGGACGUGCAUUUGAAACAGCAGGACUUGAGUACGGGAGAGGAAAGGGGAAUUCCUGGUGUAGAGGUGAUAUUCGUAGAUAUCAGGAGGAACACCGGUGGCGAAGGCGCCUUUCUGGACCGAUACUGACGCUGAGGUGCGAAGGCGUGGGUAGCGAACGGGAUUAGAUACCCUCGUAGUC